AUUGAACGCUGGCGGCAGGCCUAACACAUGCAAGUCGAGCGGAUGAAGGGAGCUUGCUCCUGGAUUCAGCGGCGGACGGGUGAGUAAUGCCUAGGAAUCUGCCUGGUAGUGGGGGAUAACGUCUGGAAACGGGCGCUAAUACCGCAUACGUCCUGAGGGAGAAAGUGGGGGAUCUUCGGACCUUACGCUAUCAGAUGAGCCUAGGUCGGAUUAGCUAGUUGGUGGGGUAAAGGCUUACCAAGGCGACGAUCCGUAACUGGUCUGAGAGGAUGAUCAGUCACACUGGAACUGGGACACGGUCCAGACUCCUACGGGAGGCAGCAGUGGGGAAUAUUGGACAAUGGGCGAAAGCCUGAUCCAGCCAUGCCGCGUGUGUGAAGAAGGUCUUCGGAUUGUAAAGCACUUUAAGUUGGGAGGAAGGGCAGUAAGUUAAUACCUUGCUGUUUUGACGUUACCAACAGAAUAAGCACCGGCUAACUUCGUG
Molecule: ribosomal RNA, 484 nt
Filed under: uncultured bacterium
Lineage: Bacteria
Description: partial 16S ribosomal RNA
Rfam family: Bacterial small subunit ribosomal RNA
Source: RNAcentral